GAUGAACGCUGGCGGCGUGCCUAAUACAUGCGAGUCGAGCGAACGGACGAGAAGCUUGCUUCUCUGAUGUUAGCGGCGGACGGGUGAGUAACACGUGGAUAACCUACCUAUAAGACUGGGAUAACUUCGGGAAACCGGAGCUAAUACCGGAUAAUAUUUUGAACCGCAUGGUUCAAAAGUGAAAGACGGUCUUGCUGUCACUUAUAGAUGGAUCCGCGCUGCAUUAGCUAGUUGGUAAGGUAACGGCUUACCAAGGCAACGAUGCAUAGCCGACCUGAGAGGGUGAUCGGCCACACUGGAACUGAGACACGGUCCAGACUCCUACGGGAGGCAGCAGUAGGGAAUAUUCCGCAAUGGGCGAAAGCCUGACGGAGCAACGCCGCGUGAGUGAUGAAGGUCUUCGGAUCGUAAAACUCUGUUAUUAGGGAAGAACAUAUGUGUAAGUAACUGUGCACAUCUUGACGGUACCUAAUCAGAAAGCCACGGCUAACUACGUG
Molecule: ribosomal RNA, 497 nt
Filed under: uncultured bacterium
Lineage: Bacteria
Description: partial 16S ribosomal RNA
Rfam family: Bacterial small subunit ribosomal RNA
Source: RNAcentral